RNAcentral lists this non-coding RNA (88 nucleotides) under Herbaspirillum sp. Sphag64. RNAcentral also lists the same sequence under 1 other name. The record is from RNAcentral. Lineage: Bacteria; Pseudomonadati; Pseudomonadota; Betaproteobacteria; Burkholderiales; Oxalobacteraceae.
UACUCUGGUCGGCAAUGGUAGGGAGGCCUUGGCCUGCCGGUUACCGUACGCGCCGGUCUGCAAACCUUGCCAUUUGCCGCCCACCCCG